Molecule: long non-coding RNA, 1410 nt
Filed under: Brassica napus (rape)
Lineage: Eukaryota; Viridiplantae; Streptophyta; Magnoliopsida; Brassicales; Brassicaceae
Description: long non-coding RNA (BNAP_LNC000592)
Source: RNAcentral
AAGUCUAUAAACGUCGGGGAGCAAAUUUUCGCCCUGACCCGAAACAUAACUUACCGGGCAGCGUUCGGGUCAGCUUGCGAAAAGGGACAAGACGAGUUCAUAAGAAUCUUACAAGAGUUCUCUAAGCUUUUUGGAGCCUUCAACGUAGCAGAUUUCAUACCAUAUUUCGGGUGGAUCGAUCCACAAGGGAUAAACAAGCGCCUCGUGAAGGCCCGUAAUGAUCUAGACGGAUUUAUUGACGAUAUCAUCGACGAACAUAUGAAGAAGAAAGAGAAUCAAAACACUGUUGAUGAUGGAUAUGUUGGUGAUACCGAUAUGGUUGAUGAUCUUCUUGCUUUUUACAGUGAAGAGGCCAAAUUAGUGAGCGAGACAACGGAUCUUCAGAAUUCUAUCAAACUUACCCGUGACAAUAUCAAAGCAAUCAUCAUGGUAAUUUCUUUUUCAAAAGACCAAUAGGCACAUUCAUUAUUCUUAAUGCGACACCAUCGAACUUAUCCAUCAAACCACUAGAUUCAUAUUUUUGUCUAAAUGAGGAAGGUAACUUUCUGUAUUUACAAGUAGUCCAUAUGAUAUUAGAGAUUUUGCGUAAGCAUUAGGGGAAAAUGACGUCAUUUACUGAUAGUAAAAACUCAUAAAAAUAUAAAGUUUUAGAAAAAACCUAAAAUACGAAACAUGUAAAAAACACGUACAAAGGUAAUAUAAAUCACACGUAAAUAUAAUCUGACCGUCUUUGAGCUAACAAUUUAUUUCUGUUUACGUUUUAAAAUCUAAUUUGAAUUGAUUUAUUGAAUUUAAUAGGACGUCAUGUUCGGAGGAACGGAAACGGUAGCGUCGGCAAUAGAGUGGGCCUUAACGGAGUUAUUACGGAGCCCCGAGGAUCUAAAACGGGUCCAACAAGAACUCGCAGAAGUUGUCGGACUUGACCGACGUCUGGAAGAAUCAGACAUCGAGAAGUUGACUUUUCUGAAAUGCACACUCAAAGAAACCCUAAGGCUACACCCACCGAUCCCACUCCUCCUCCACGAAACCGCAGAGGACACUGAGAUCGAUGGUUACUUCGUUCCCAAGAGAUCUCGCGAAGAGUUCUCUAAGCUUUUUGGAGCCUUCAACGUAGCAGAUUUCAUACCAUAUUUUGGGUGGAUCGAUCCACAAGGGAUAAGCAAGCGGCUCGUGAAGGCCCGUAAUGAUCUAGACGGAUUUAUUGACGAUAUCAUCGACGAACAUAUGAAGAAGAAAGAGAAUCAAAACACUGUUGAUGAUGGAUAUGUUGGUGAUACCGAUAUGGUUGAUGAUCUUCUUGCUUUUUACAGUGAAGAGGCCAAAUUAGUGAGCGAGACAACGGAUCUUCAGAAUUCUAUCAAACUUACCCGUGACAAUAUCAAAGCAAUCAUCAUGGUAAUUUCUUUUUCA